UAUCCGUGGUGGGGGCAAAGGGUUUGCAGUUCUUUAAAUCUUUCCCAAGCCUGAUAUAAAGUCUCACUAUCCUUUUGUGUGAAAGAUGAAAUUUGCUUCUUAAGGGU
Molecule: small nucleolar RNA, 107 nt
Filed under: Olea europaea subsp. europaea
Lineage: Eukaryota; Viridiplantae; Streptophyta; Magnoliopsida; Lamiales; Oleaceae
Description: Plant small nucleolar RNA R71
Rfam family: Plant small nucleolar RNA R71
About the family: R71 is a member of the C/D box family of snoRNAs containing the C (UGAUGA) and D (CUGA) box motifs. Multiple nearly identical copies of this snoRNA have been identified in Arabidopsis, and it is thought to function as a 2'-O-ribose methylation guide for 18S ribosomal RNA.
Source: Rfam by way of RNAcentral